This 450-nucleotide ribosomal RNA is filed under the name uncultured bacterium. RNAcentral's name for it is "partial 16S ribosomal RNA". It matches the Rfam family "Bacterial small subunit ribosomal RNA", at positions 354 to 796 of the family's 1533-position model. The record is from RNAcentral.
GUGGGGAAUAUUGGACAAUGGGCGAAAGCCUGAUCCAGCCAUGCCGCGCGUGUGAAGAAGGUCUUCGGAUUGUAAAGCACUUUAAGUUGGGAGGAAGGGCAGUAAGUUAAUACCUUGCUGUUUUGACGUUACCGACAGAAUAAGCACCGGCUAACUUCGUGCCAGCAGCCGCGGUAAUACGAAGGGUGCAAGCGUUAAUCGGAAUUACUGGGCGUAAAGCGCGCGUAGGUGGUUUUGUAAGUUGGAGGUGAAAUCCCCGGGCUCAACCUGGGAACUGCCUCCAAAACUGCAUGACUAGAGUACGGUAGAGGGUAGUGGAAUUUCCUGUGUAGCGGUGAAAUGCGUAGAUAUAGGAAGGAACACCAGUGGCGAAGGCGACUACCUGGACUGAUACUGACACUGAGGUGCGAAAGCGUGGGGAGCAAACAGGAUUAGAUACCCUAGUAGUCC